GUGGGAGAGUCUGGAAGCUUUGAGGGCUAAUAUUUUUACAGCCAUGGAUUUUCUACGUAACCACAGGCAAACAAAAGAGAUGCAUGGAGUGGUAGAUUAAAAAUCUUGCUGAGUGGCUUUUGGUCGUGCUUGGUGGCAGAAGUACAGGUUUGGGCUUCAGCUGGCUUUUUACAAGAUGUUGCUACUGUGGGAAAACUUUCACCAAUAGUCAGUCAAGACCUUGCACACCAACCUCCUCCUUCAUUUAUCAGAACAGCCCUGGCUGCAAUACUUCUAUACCACUUAGGCAAAUGUGCUCUGAGAGCUCAGCCUGGGUCCCAACCAGAGAGCCAAACAGCAGGCAAUAGUCUUUCUUCUCAUGCUAGUACCUCUACCAACCCAAGAAGAUCUGGUGAGGUUGACAGCUGGAAGCAAGUCUUGUUGCUGUUCCAUUUCUUUGUUAUCAAUUGCAUGUGGGAAGGGAAAGGCAGUGACUUGUUCCACCAUAUAAGAAAUAUCUUCUAGGGAGCCAGUGCCAACCUUGGCAGCUAGGGAGGGUGUAUGAUAAAAUGCCAACAGCUGCAUGUGACUUUAUGUUCUCACACAGGGCCCUUGUCAGAACUUUGGGAUCUUGUAAAUGCCUCACAGACUGAUAGCAUUAAAAACUGCAUCUCCAUAGAAGUAACAUGCUUAACUUAGGCCCUAAGUGUCGAGUCACAUUCAUUAGUUAUAAUCCAUGUGUCUUUGCCUUCCUUGGGAGUCAUCAUCACCUUAUGAUUGAAGAUACUUCCACUAUGGAAUUGACAGGAAGGAUAUUUUUCUUUUAAUCAUUAGUACCAAACUGUCUGAUCAGAAUGUUUACAAUGAGUGUGCUCGUACAGAGAAGGUUGCCUAGAGAGAUUGUGGCAUUUACAUGUGGAGAUAUUAACAAAAAUAGACAUAGUCCUGGUCGAGUUGCUACCAUUGACUCUGCUUUGGGGUGGUAGUGCUUGGACUACAUGAACUCCAGGGGUCCCUUUCUAUCUCAACAAUUCUAUGGUUCUGUGAUAAGCCAAAGACACAAUAAUUCCUAGCCUUUUAGGCAGUAAUGAAAUCUCUUUUCUGACAUUUUCAUUUAGCCUAAGUAAUAAAAUGGUCAUUAGAUGACAGAAAAAAUGAGAAAAAGCAUGACUAUAGCCAGAGGGUUAGGGUAAGUCAGGUUGAAAUUUCUUGCUUCACAUAAUAUUUCAUAAUGAUAUGAAGUAUAACAGGUUUUGAGAGAAGUUCUGAGGAAGCAAAAUAUUUUUUCAGAACACCAAAUGCCUGGUGAUAAGGAAAUUUUCUGCAAUAUUGGAAGAGAUAUUUAGGUUCAGAUCUAUAUCUCCCAAAUGCCAGCUGAUGGCUCCAGUACUGGAAAUAUUAGGUACCAGUCAUCACUCAGAAAUGUAAUG
This is a long non-coding RNA of Passer domesticus (house sparrow), 1409 nucleotides long. RefSeq lists it as uncharacterized. The record is from RefSeq and is a predicted model, not a curated record. NCBI's taxonomy places the organism in Eukaryota, Metazoa, Chordata, Aves, Passeriformes, Passeridae. The transcript is spliced from 3 exons.